RNAcentral lists this ribosomal RNA (253 nucleotides) under uncultured bacterium. RNAcentral's name for it is "partial 16S ribosomal RNA". It matches the Rfam family "Bacterial small subunit ribosomal RNA", at positions 524 to 776 of the family's 1533-position model. The record is from RNAcentral.
UACGUAGGGUGCGAGCGUUAAUCGGAAUUACUGGGCUUAAAGGGCGCGUAGGCGGUGAAGUAAGUCGGGUGUGAAAUACCAUAGCUUAACUAUGGAACUGCACUCGAUACUACUUUGCUAGAGUAAGACAGAGGUGAGUGGAACUGAGGGUGGAGCGGUGAAAUGCGUUGAUAUCCUGAGGAACACCGGUGGCGAAGGCGACUCACUGGGUCUUUACUGACGCUGAUGCACGAAAGCUAGGGUAGCAAACGGG